RNAcentral lists this transfer RNA (73 nucleotides) under Stegodyphus mimosarum. It matches the Rfam family "tRNA". From Rfam's summary of the family: Transfer RNA (tRNA) molecules are approximately 80 nucleotides in length. Their secondary structure includes four short double-helical elements and three loops (D, anti-codon, and T loops). Further hydrogen bonds mediate the characteristic L-shaped molecular structure. tRNAs have two regions of fundamental functional importance: the anti-codon, which is responsible for specific mRNA codon recognition, and the 3' end, to which the tRNAs corresponding amino acid is attached (by aminoacyl-tRNA synthetases). tRNAs cope with the degeneracy of the genetic code in two manners: having more than one tRNA (with a specific anti-codon) for a particular amino acid; and 'wobble' base-pairing, i.e. permitting non-standard base-pairing at the 3rd anti-codon position. The record is from Rfam by way of RNAcentral. Lineage: Eukaryota; Metazoa; Arthropoda; Arachnida; Araneae; Eresidae.
GCCUUCGUGGUGUAGUGGUCAGCACGCUCGGCGCGUAUUCGAGAGGUCCGUGGUUCGAGUCCCGGCGUGUGCA